CAAAGGGUUAGGAUGUGUUCUCAUGCAACGUGGGAAAGUCAGAGCCUAUGCCUCGCGACAACUUAAAGAAUAUGAGAGGAAUUAUCCUACUCAUGAUCUAGAGUUGGCAGCAGUCAUCUUCGCGCUAAAGAUCUGGAGGCACUAUCUAUAUGGGGAGAAAGUGGAGAUAUAUUCAGACCAUAAAAGCCUCAAAUAUUUCUUCACUCAAAAGGAACUCAACAUGCGGCAACGACGUUGGCUCGAGUUUUUGAAAGAUUACGACCACACUAUUCAAUACCAUCCCGGAGCUGAUGCGUAUGAAGAAGAAAGUACGAGAAGGUGCUAUUCCGGAAGCGAGAAUCGAUGAAGAAGGAAUACUUCGAGUCCACUCCAAACUUUAUGUUCCUAACGACUCUGAUUUGAAGUACAAGAUUAUGAUGGAGGCACACAAUAAACCAUUUGCGAACCAUCCGGGAAGUACUAAAAUGUAUCGUGAUCUUCGACAUACAUUUUGGUGGAACAAUAUGAAGAGAGAGAUUGCAAAGUUUAUCUCGACGUGUUUAACUUGUCAGCGUGUAAAGGCAGAGUAUCAAGUACCUAAGGGUCCAUUGCAACCACUUGAGAUUCCGAAAUGGAAGUGGGAACACAUUACCAUGGAUUUUGUUACGGGUCUUCCUACUGUUUCUCAAGGCAUCGAUGUUAUUUGGGUUAUUGUUGAUAGAUUAACUAAGUCUGCUCAUUUCUUACCGAUACGGGAGACUUAUUCCCUUGAACGUCUUGCUCAUAUGUAUAUAAAUGAGAUUGUGAGAUUGCAUGGCAUGCCAGUAUCCAUAGUUUCGGAUCGUGACCCAAGACUUACUUCAAGAUUUUGGGUUAGCUUGCAAAAAGCUAUGGGCACGGAUUUACGAUUUAGUUCGGCAUACCAUCCUUAAACGGAAGGACAAUCAGAGAAGACUAUUCAAACUCUUGAAAAUUUAUUAAGAUUGUGUGUCCUAGACUUCAAAGGGAGUUGGGAUAAGUAUUUAACAUUGGUGGAAUUCUCCUACAACAACAGUUAUCAGACAAGCAUUGGUGUGGCCCCAUUUGAAGCAUUGUAUGGACGAAAGUGUCGCUCUCCAGAUUCUCCUACAACAACAGUUAUCAGACAAGCAUUGGUGUGGCCCCAUUUGAAGCAUUGUAUGGACGAAAGUGUCGCUCUCCAGUAUGUUGGGACCCGAGUUGGUACGUAUGACUACGAAAAAGAUCCAAAUGAUUCGACAAUGUAUAUAAAUGGCACAAGAUAGACAAAAGAGUUAUGCGGAUCUUCAUCGAAAGGACGUGAAAUUUAGUAUUGGGGAUCAUGUAUUGUUGCGUGUUGCCCCAUGGAAGGGAGUUACAAGAUUCGGGAAGAGAGUAAAGCUAAAUCCAUGAUUUAUUGGUCCAUUUCAAAUUCUUGACCGAGUAGGUAAUGUAGCCUAUGGACUCGCGUUACCUCCGAGUAUGUCUCGUGUUCAUAAUGUGUUUCACAUAUCUGUACUUUGUAAAUAUGUGAAAGACCCGAACUACGUUAUUAAGUUAGAACCAUACGAGAUAGUCAAAGACUUAACUUACGAAGAUGUACCUGUCAAGAUCUUGGAUAGGAAGGCGCAUGUCCUACGCACAAAUGUCAUACCACAAGUUAAAGUUUUGUGGAGGAACCAUGCUAUAGAGGAAAUGACCUGGGAGUUGGAAACAAAAAUGAAAGCGAGGUAUCCUCACCUUUUCGAAACACCAGGUACGUACGUCAAUUUCGAGGACGAAAUUUCAUAAGGGGGGGAGGUUGUAAGACCCCAACUUAUUAUUUAAUGAAAUUAAAUUUCCUCUAUUUAUUAUCUUGAAAUAGUAAGGGUUGAUUUGAUUAAUGUGGUAAGUUAUGGGUAAAAUGCGCAAUUAUUUCAAACAAGCAAGUGGUUUUAAAAUAUUCAUUGUUGACGGGGAAUAUUCGUUUGGUCGUGGAAUAUUUUUACUGUCGGGGAAUAUUCGUACGACGGCGCAGCCUUGUGUGGGCCCCAUAACGAAAAGUGAUUGGAUGAAGAAAACGACAAGAAUAAGUUUGUUAUAAAUAACGGCGUAGUUAUUACCGUUAAUACUGUGGGAAUACCCGGUGGUUAAAACACAGUAGCACACGGUAUUACACCAAUUAUUGAUUCUUACGUAAGAAGGCACUACUCAAUAAUUGUUAUAGUAAUUACUGUUUAAUAUUUUAUUUUAUUGAUUCAAUAAUUGUUGCGUUGAUAUUUUAUAUUACUGUUGUUUUAAUAAUUGUCAUUUCACAGUAUUUUCUAUUAUCGGAGCAAUAAUUCAUAUUAUCUGAAUAAUAUUAUUAGAUAACAUUAUUGGAAAUGUCUAGAAAGUUCUGUCUAAGGAGAGGUUUGGUCAUCUAAUUGCGCGCCAGUAAGGAGAGAUCCUUAUUGGAAAGCCCCCUCUUUCUUGGGAACUGCCUAGUUGUCAAUAAUGUGAUUCUAUAAUAUUAUAUGUGAAUAAUUAAUUAUUGAUUUAUAUGAUGAGAAAAAUAUUGAUUUUUAUGUGGAUAUAGAUGGAGAAAAUUUUUAAUGUGGCAAUUGUUAAAAAUUAAUAUUUUAUCUUUUUCUGAUAAAAUAAUUCAUUUAAAUAUAUUAUUUUAAUAUAAUGAUGGUGAUAUUUUUACAAUGAAUGUGGGAUAUAUAAGUAUAUGAGGAGGAAGAGUAUUUUUUUGGUAUUAAAUGAUUAACACAUGUUUUGUGUGUCGGUAGACCCCAAUUCUUGACCGAAAUUUGAUUAUAGCCUGUAAAAUUGCCCGUUUGUGGAUUUCGGUCAAUUUCUGUUUUGAAUUUGAAAAAACUUUCUUCUGUAAAGUUGUAGAGAAUGAAAUUUCAUAUGGAAAAGACCUGUGGUUUGAAUUUUUCUAACAAAAGGGCUAUUUAUUGUGAAUUAUUGAAGUUUCGAUAUAUCGAGUGUGAAUUAAUUUUUGGAGUUUAAAUGAUUUUUUGUUAGAAAAACGUUUUUUGUACUUUGGUGGCCUUCACUUGCACAUGUUAAUGGCUGAAUUCAAUUAUCUAGAGGUGGGCUUGAAUAUUUUGUAAUUAUAUUAAUAUUAUAUUAAAUUUUCUACUUUGGUGUGCUAAGCAUUUUCCUAUAAAUAGGGUGCUUAAGUUAGAAUUAAAAAUCACACUAGAAACUCAAAUCUUCUCUCUCUUUCUCUCUCGAUAUAUUGAGCGUAUUCUUGUGAGUAUUUUAAUACUUUGAGUGUUGCUAUACGAUGCAAGUUCAAGUCAUAGCCUAUAUCCGGAGUUUCAACUAGAAGUACUAUCUUUUCAAGGUAAGGGAUGUUAUUUUCCUUUAAAAUGAUAUUAUUUUCUUCAAUAUCAUUAUGCCGAAAUAUUGGUUUGAACUUUUAAUCAAAUUUGGAAUUUUUUGUGUCGGGGUUACUAUUCACGUAUACGGCACUAUUCACGUAUACGACACUAUUCACGAAUACGGCAUUAUUCAUCGAAAAAUGAAAUUUUUCCUUUUCGUCCAAAAUAUUUAUUAUGGAUACUAGCUUUAAUUGUAUCCAUGUUUUGAUCAUUCUUGAAUUUUACUUCACUAUUAUUAUUUAUGAGGUAUUUUUGGACAUGAAAUAGCUGAAAUACGAAUCCUUGAUAUUUAUUCUUUUGUUUCACUAGAUUCGUUUCCUUUAAAAUAUUUUUCAUCAUCCUCAGUCUUAAAUAAUGAUAUUAUUGAAUAUCUUUGGCCUGUAGUGCAAAGAUGAAAAUUUGAUUCAAGAUGAAUAUUGAUUGAUGUUACAGGGAUAAAAUAUUGACGAUGGACUUUUAAAUUCAUAGAUAAUAGUAGAUUUCAUUCUCUACGUAACUCUUCUAUGAAUUAUUAUUUCCGCUGCGAAUAUUUAUCUGAAACUUGUUGUCUAUUGUAUUUUAUCAGAUUUUUUUCCCUGUUGAAGACUAACGAUAAUUUGUUCUAUAUUAUCUUUGUAAUAAUAUUCUUUACUGGGCUAGUUGAGCUCACCCUUUUCCUUUUUGUUCUAUUUUUCUUCUCAGGAGGCGAGAAUGUAGCGAGUACUAGUCGGGAUAUGGAAUGAUGAUUCUAGAAGUUGUUUAGUAGUCCUCACCAUUUUUGUAAAAUAAUGUAUCAAUAAUUGUGAUGAAGAUUUAUUUGGGUAUGGAUAUUGUCUAGAAGACAAUAUUUGUAUUUAAACUCACAGUUUUUAUGAUGUAUUAAUAAAGUUGUUGUUAUUUCUGUACCAUGUUAUUGACGACCUAAAAUGGGUGAUGUAUACCUAAAUGGGUGGUGUCUAAACAUGGAGUAUCUGUCUACCCUGUGAAGAUUGAAGCAAUACAAAGUUGGGAGCAACCGAAGUCGGUGACCGAAGUACGUAGCUUUCUGGGCCUAGCUGGUUAUUAUCGUAGAUUCGUGGAAGGGUUUUCUCAAAUCGCUACUCCAUUAACUCAGCUAACUCGGAAGGAUACAAAAUUUGUUUGGAGCGAGGAAUGCGAGAAGAGUUUCCAAGAGCUUAUGAGGAGACUUAUUUCGGCACCUAUUCUAACAAUACCAUCUGGUUCGGAUGGAUUUGUUAUCUACAGCGAUGCUUCGGGCAAAGGGUUAGGAUGUGUUCUCAUGCAAUGUGGGAAAGUCAUAGCCUAUGCCUCGCGACAACUUAAAGAAUAUGAUAGGAAUUAUCCUACUCAUGAUCUAGAGUUGGCAGCAAUCGUCUUCGCGCUAAAGAUCUGGAGGCACUAUCUAUAUGGGGAGAAAGUGGAGAUAUAUUCAGACCAUAAAAGCCUCAAAUAUUUUUUCACUCAAAAGGAACUCAACAUGAGGCAAUGAUGUUGGCUCGAGUUGUUAAAAGAUUACGACCACAUUAUUCAAU
Molecule: long non-coding RNA, 4843 nt
Filed under: Panax ginseng (ginseng)
Lineage: Eukaryota; Viridiplantae; Streptophyta; Magnoliopsida; Apiales; Araliaceae
Description: long non-coding RNA (PGIN_LNC004554)
Source: RNAcentral